ACCUCCUCACUUACCCUCCUCUGGUGUGUGUAAGUGGAGUUGUCGGCUUAUGAGCAAUCAUAUCUGAUCAAAUGGAUUAGGUUUGGAUCAGGCUGGUGGCCCGAGACACUGUGUGCUAGAGACUAGCAGUCUUGAUGACUGGUCCUGUCUUCUCACGGUGCGUCUCGGGUCAUUCAAAGCUGGCCUGCUAAGGACCUUAAUUGCGCAUAGCCCUUGUGGCUAUGGCAGCCCCCCCCUCU
RNAcentral lists this unclassified non-coding RNA (239 nucleotides) under uncultured Rozellomycota. Its description in RNAcentral is "uncultured Cryptomycota sequence contains ITS2". Lineage: Eukaryota; Fungi; Rozellomycota. The record is from RNAcentral.